RNAcentral lists this ribosomal RNA (425 nucleotides) under uncultured bacterium. RNAcentral's name for it is "bacterial SSU rRNA". It matches the Rfam family "Bacterial small subunit ribosomal RNA", at positions 359 to 776 of the family's 1533-position model. The record is from RNAcentral.
GAAUUGUUCACAAUGGGCGCAAGCCUGAUGACGCAACGCCGCGUGGGGGAUGAAGGUCUUCGGAUUGUAAACCCCUGUCGAACAGGACGAACGGCUCCUGGGCUAAUCACCAGGAGAGUGACGGUACCGUUAAAGGAAGCCACGGCUAACUCUGUGCCGACAGCCGCGGUAAUACAGAGGUGGCAAGCGUUGUUCGGAAGUACUGGGCGUAAAGGGCGCGUAGGCGGCCAUCUAAGUCAGACGUGAAAUCCCCCGGCUUAACCUGGGAACUGCGUCUGAUACUGGACGGCUUGAGUAUGGGAGAGGGAUGUAGAAUUCCAGGUGUAGCGGUGAAAUGCGUAGAUAUCUGGAGGAAUACCGGUGGCGAAGGCGGCAUCCUGGACCAUUACUGACGCUGAGGCGCGAAAGCUAGGGGAGCAAACGGG